This 82-nucleotide transfer RNA is filed under the name Anaerolineales bacterium. Its description in RNAcentral is "tRNA-Leu". It matches the Rfam family "tRNA". From Rfam's summary of the family: Transfer RNA (tRNA) molecules are approximately 80 nucleotides in length. Their secondary structure includes four short double-helical elements and three loops (D, anti-codon, and T loops). Further hydrogen bonds mediate the characteristic L-shaped molecular structure. tRNAs have two regions of fundamental functional importance: the anti-codon, which is responsible for specific mRNA codon recognition, and the 3' end, to which the tRNAs corresponding amino acid is attached (by aminoacyl-tRNA synthetases). tRNAs cope with the degeneracy of the genetic code in two manners: having more than one tRNA (with a specific anti-codon) for a particular amino acid; and 'wobble' base-pairing, i.e. permitting non-standard base-pairing at the 3rd anti-codon position. Lineage: Bacteria; Bacillati; Chloroflexota; Anaerolineae; Anaerolineales. The record is from RNAcentral.
GGGGAAGUGCUGGAACUGGCAGACAGGCAUGACUUAGGAUCAUGUGCCGCAAGGCGUGUGGGUUCGAGCCCCACCUUCCCUA